Molecule: ribosomal RNA, 686 nt
Filed under: uncultured Nitrososphaerota archaeon
Lineage: Archaea; Thermoproteati; Nitrososphaerota
Description: bacterial SSU rRNA
Rfam family: Archaeal small subunit ribosomal RNA
Source: RNAcentral
CAGCAAUGCGUGGCAUACGGCUCAGUAACACGUAGUCAACAUGCCCAGGGGACGUGGAUAACCUCGGGAAACUGAGGAUAAACCGCGAUAGGCCAAGGUUUCUGGAAUGGACACUGGCUGAAACCUAUAUGGCCCCUGGAUUGGACUGCGGCCGAUCGGGCUGUUGGUGAGGUAAUGGCCCACCAAACCUGUAACCGGUACGGGCUUUGAGAGAAGGAGCCCGGAGAUGGGCACUGAGACAAGGGCCCAGGCCCCAUGGGGCGCAGCAGGCGCGAAAAUUCUGCAAUAGGCGAAAGCUUGACAGAGUUACUCUGAGUGAUGCCCGCUAAGGGCAUCUUUUGGCACCUCUAAAAAUGGUGCAGAAUAAGGGGUGGGCAAGUCUGGUGUCAGCCGCCGCGGUAAUACCAGCACCCCGAGUGGUCGGGACGAUUAUUGGGCCUAAAGCAUCCGUAGCUUGUUCUGCAAGUCUUCCGUUAAAUCCACCUGCUCAACAGAUGGGCUGCGGGAGAUACUACAGGGCUAGGAGGCGGGAGAGGCAAGCGGUACUCAGUGGGUAGGGGUAAAAUCCUCUGAUCCACUGAAGACCACCAGUGGCGAAGGCGGCUUGCCAGAACGCGCUCGACGGUGAGGGAUGAAAGCUGGGGGAGCAAACCGGAUUAGAUACCCGGGUAGUCCCAGCUGUAAAC